UGCUGGAGGUAUCAGAAGUGCGAAUGCUGACAUAAGUAACGAUAAAGCGGGUGAAAAGCCCGCUCGCCGGAAGACCAAGGGUUCCUGUCCAACGUUAAUCGGGGCAGGGUGAGUCGACCCCUAAGGCGAGGCCGAAAGGCGUAGUCGAUGGGAAACAGGUUAAUAUUCCUGUACUUGGUGUUACUGCGAAGGGGGGACGGAGAAGGCUAUGUUAGCCGGGCGACGGUUGUCCCGGUUUAAGCAUGUAGGCUGGUUGUCCAGGCAAAUCCGGAUAAUCAAGGCUGAGGUGUGAUGACGAGGCACUACGGUGCUGAAGUAACAAAUGCCCUGCUUCCAGGAAAAGCCUCUAAGCAUCAGGUAACAUCAAAUCGUACCCCAAACCGACACAGGUGGUCAGGUAGAGAAUACCAAGGCGCUUGAGAGAACUCGGGUGAAGGAACUAGGCAAAAUGGUGCCGUAACUUCGGGAGAAGGCACGCUGGUGUGUAGGUGAAGUCCCUGCGGAUGGAGCUGAGACCAGUCGAAGAUACCAGCUGGCUGCAACUGUUUAUUAAAAACACAGCACUGUGCAAACACGAAAGUGGACGUAUACGGUGUGACGCCUGCCCGGUGCCGGAAGGUUAAUUGAUGGGGUUAUCCGUAAGGAGAAGCUCUUGAUCGAAGCCCCGGUAAACGGCGGCCGUAACUAUAACGGUCCUAAGGUAGCGAAAUUCCUUGUCGGGUAAGUUCCGACCUGCACGAAUGGCGUAAUGAUGGCCAGGCUGUCUCCACCCGAGACUCAGUGAAAUUGAACUCGCUGUGAAGAUGCAGUGUACCCGCGGCAAGACGGAAAGACCCCGUGAACCUUUACUAUAGCUUGACACUGAACAUUGAGCCUUGAUGUGUAGGAUAGGUGGGAGGCUUUGAAGCGUGGACGCCAGUCUGCGUGGAGCCAACCUUGAAAUACCACCCUUUAAUGUUUGAUGUUCUAACGUUGGCCCCUGACCGGGGUUGCGGACAGUGUCUGGUGGGUAGUUUGACUGGGGCGGUCUCCUCCCAAAGCGUAACGGAGGAGCACGAAGGUUAGCUAAUCCUGGUCGGACAUCAGGAGGUUAGUGCAAUGGCAUAAGCUAGCUUGACUGCGAGCGUGACGGCGCGAGCAGGUGCGAAAGCAGGUCAUAGUGAUCCGGUGGUUCUGAAUGGAAGGGCCAUCGCUCAACGGAUAAAAGGUACUCCGGGGAUAACAGGCUGAUACCGCCCAAGAGUUCAUAUCGACGGCGGUGUUUGGCACCUCGAUGUCGGCUCAUCACAUCCUGGGGCUGAAGUAGGUCCCAAGGGUAUGGCUGUUCGCCAUUUAAAGUGGUACGCGAGCUGGGUUUAGAACGUCGUGAGACAGUUCGGUCCCUAUCUGCCGUGGGCGCUGGAGAAUUGAGGGGGGCUGCUCCUAGUACGAGAGGACCGGAGUGGACGCAUCACUGGUGUUCGGGUUGUCAUGCCAAUGGCACUGCCCGGUAGCUAAAUGCGGAAGAGAUAAGUGCUGAAAGCAUCUAAGCACGAAACUUGCCCCGAGAUGAGUUCUCCC
This 1560-nucleotide ribosomal RNA is filed under the name Klebsiella pneumoniae. Its description in RNAcentral is "partial 23S ribosomal RNA". It matches the Rfam family "Bacterial large subunit ribosomal RNA", at positions 1271 to 2815 of the family's 2925-position model. Lineage: Bacteria; Pseudomonadati; Pseudomonadota; Gammaproteobacteria; Enterobacterales; Enterobacteriaceae. The record is from RNAcentral.